GUUUAGCCCUGAUUGAAACAAUUGUCUGAGCUCUUUUUUAUCCUUUUUCAGGAUAAAAAAAGCGAGUGUGUAAAGCAGGAAAUAGC
RNAcentral lists this small RNA (86 nucleotides) under Polaribacter atrinae. RNAcentral describes it as "Flavo-1 RNA". It matches the Rfam family "Flavo-1 RNA". The record is from Rfam by way of RNAcentral. Lineage: Bacteria; Pseudomonadati; Bacteroidota; Flavobacteriia; Flavobacteriales; Flavobacteriaceae.